CAGUAGCCGCGGUAAUACGUAGGGUGCGAGCGUUAAUCGGAUUUACUGGGCGUAAAGCGUGCGCAGGCGGCCCGUUAAGGCAGGUGUGAAAUCCCUGGGCUCAACCUAGGAAUUGCGCUUGUGACUGGCGGGCUCGAGUACGGUAGAGGGGGGUGGAAUUCCUGGUGUAGCAGUGAAAUGCGUAGAGAUCAGGAGGAACACCGAUGGCGAAGGCAGCCCCCUGGGCCUGUACUGACGCUCAUGCACGAAAGCGUGGGGAGCAAACAGGAUUAGAUACCCCCGUAGUCCCUGUCUCUUAUAC
Molecule: ribosomal RNA, 301 nt
Filed under: uncultured bacterium
Lineage: Bacteria
Description: partial 16S ribosomal RNA
Rfam family: Bacterial small subunit ribosomal RNA
Source: RNAcentral